CCUGUACGCUGAGACAUGUGGCAAUCCAGGCUGCUUGCUUUGGGAUCUAACAUGCAGGAGACGCUCCCCACCAUGGCCUGGCUGAGGCAGCUCACGAAGCUUGUCCAGUUGUCCACGUGACUGAGCCCGAAGGCGGCUCUGUGAACACCGCCAUACCAAAUGCCACCCACAUUUCAGAGACGUCUUUCUUCGUGCAGAAAUAUGACACCUCAACUUCGUCAUGGGAAGAUGUCAUUUACUCCUCUGAUGAGGACUCCCAAAACGUCCUCAGUUCCUUCAAGGAGACACUCUCCUUUUCUGGUGGCUACUUCAAGAUGGAGAACGUGAGCAAAGGGGAUGAAGGUGUUUACAGGAUUCAAGGUGAAAUGUACAAGAAGUGUGUGGGUAUUGUAAACCUCAUCGUGGUAGAGCCCAGCUCAAUCCCACCUACUGUGUCUGGGACGUCCGGUGCUGAGGAGGAACCUCGCAGUGAGACCAAAGGGGAAGGUAAGUAGCUUGUGAUGGGAGAUUUCCUGCACCAAUAGCGUCUCUCAUCCCAGCCACACACAUGUCCCAGCUCCCACUUAUGUAAAUGUGAGCUUGAGGGAAUCAUGCAGUUGCUCCAGAUCUUCUCAGAUGGCCUGAUGGCUUGUGCCACAAUUGGCCAAAAAUGGACCAGUGGGAGCUGGCAUAGCAGAGUUGGCUACGCCCAA
This is a long non-coding RNA of Gopherus flavomarginatus (Mexican gopher tortoise), 692 nucleotides long. RefSeq lists it as uncharacterized. The transcript is spliced from 3 exons. Lineage: Eukaryota; Metazoa; Chordata; Testudines; Testudinidae. The record is from RefSeq and is a predicted model, not a curated record.